RNAcentral lists this ribosomal RNA (253 nucleotides) under uncultured bacterium. RNAcentral's name for it is "partial 16S ribosomal RNA". It matches the Rfam family "Bacterial small subunit ribosomal RNA", at positions 524 to 776 of the family's 1533-position model. The record is from RNAcentral.
UACGUAGGGGGCUAGCGUUGUCCGGAAUCAUUGGGCGUAAAGCGCGUGUAGGCGGUUCGGUAAGUCCGCUGUGAAAGUCAGGGGCUCAACCCUCGAAUGCCGGUGGAUACUGUCGGACUAGAGUACGGAAGAGGCGAGUGGAAUUCCUGGUGUAGCGGUGAAAUGCGCAGAUAUCAGGAGGAACACCGGUGGCGAAGGCGGGUCUCUGGGCCGUAACUGACGCUGAGGAGCGAAAGCAUGGGGAGCGAACAGG